This 253-nucleotide ribosomal RNA is filed under the name uncultured bacterium. RNAcentral describes it as "partial 16S ribosomal RNA". It matches the Rfam family "Bacterial small subunit ribosomal RNA", at positions 524 to 776 of the family's 1533-position model. The record is from RNAcentral.
UACGUAGGGUGCAAGCGUUGUCCGGAAUUAUUGGGCGUAAAGAGCUCGUAGGCGGUUUGUCGCGUCUGCUGUGAAAACCCGAGGCUCAACCUCGGGCCUGCAGUGGGUACGGGCAGACUAGAGUGCGGUAGGGGAGAUUGGAAUUCCUGGUGUAGCGGUGGAAUGCGCAGAUAUCAGGAGGAACACCAAUGGCGAAGGCAGCACUCUGGGACGUGACUGACGCUGAGACGCGAAAGCGUGGGGAGCAAACAGG